UACGAAGGGGGCUAGCGUUGUUCGGAAUUACUGGGCGUAAAGCGCGCGCAGGCGGCCAUUCAAGUCAGGGGUGAAAGCCCAGAGCUCAACUCUGGAACUGCCCUUGAAACUGCAUGGCUUGAGUACGAGAGAGGUGAGUGGAAUUCCCAGUGUAGAGGUGAAAUGCGUAGAGAUCGGGAGGAACACCAGUGGCGAAGGCGGCUACCUGGACCAGCACUGACACUGAGGCACGAAAGCGUGGGGAGCAAACAGG
RNAcentral lists this ribosomal RNA (253 nucleotides) under uncultured bacterium. RNAcentral describes it as "partial 16S ribosomal RNA". It matches the Rfam family "Bacterial small subunit ribosomal RNA", at positions 524 to 776 of the family's 1533-position model. The record is from RNAcentral.